CGCCCUAACCCGGCUGCGGUAUGCCCCUUUGAGCGUCAUUGCUACCCUUCGGGAGCCUUUCCUUGGGAAGACCCGAGUUCGGAGUCCUCGGUCCUCGGACCGUGUUCUCUCAGAUCCAUCGCGCCGAUCGUCCGGUAGGUCCUCUAAUGCCUGAGCGUGGAGAGAGCCUCUGGAGUUUUGAGCGGCGUUUGACUGCGUGGCGAGCGCUGGUCACCAAGUCCGCACGGCCUAGCCGUCGGUGCUACAACUCAUGACCUCAUUGGGGUAGGACAACCCGCUAGACUUAAGCAUAUUAAUCAGCGGAGGAAAAGAAACUAACCAGGAUCCCCUCAGUAACUGCGAGUGAAGAGGGGUCAGCUCAAUGUGUGAAUCGGGCUUGGGGUAGCUCCCGGACCCGAGUUGUGCACUAUGGACGCUUUGUCUGCAUCUGUAACGGCGGUGGAAGUCCGGUGAAACACGGCACCUCAGAGGGUCACAGUCCUGUACCACCUGCCUGCACUCGCGCCAAUGACAAGCGCUCCUCGAGUCGCGUAGUUUUGUAAUGCUGCGCCAAGUGGGAGGUAGAGACCUUCUAAGGCUAAAUAUGAUGACGUGACCGAUAGCACACAAGUACCGCGAGGGAAAGGUGAAAAGCAACCAUGAAAAAUGGGUUGAAACAGCAGUGAAAGCGCCACCGGGAUAAGGGCUAUCGGGUGCUGGGGCUCUUGGGGUGUGCUUCAGUGCUACCCUUUGAGACGGCCCGCGCGGGUUGACGUUGGGGCGAUAGACGCGCAGCAGGAAUUCAGCUGU
This 789-nucleotide ribosomal RNA is filed under the name uncultured Tulasnella. Its description in RNAcentral is "LSU rRNA". The stretch from base 252 to 789 matches the Rfam family "Eukaryotic large subunit ribosomal RNA", at positions 1 to 476 of the family's 3401-position model. Lineage: Eukaryota; Fungi; Basidiomycota; Agaricomycetes; Cantharellales; Tulasnellaceae. The record is from RNAcentral.